RNAcentral lists this ribosomal RNA (468 nucleotides) under uncultured bacterium. RNAcentral describes it as "partial 16S ribosomal RNA". It matches the Rfam family "Bacterial small subunit ribosomal RNA", at positions 28 to 507 of the family's 1533-position model. The record is from RNAcentral.
GACGGACGCUGGCGGCGUGCUUAACGCAUGCAAGUCGAACGGAAAGGCCCUGCUUUUGUGGGGUGCUCGAGUGGCGAACGGGUGAGUAACACGUGAGUAACCUGCCCUUGACUUUGGGAUAACUUCAGGAAACUGGGGCUAAUACCGGAUAGGAGCUCCUGCUGCAUGGUGGGGGUUGGAAAGUUUCGGCGGUUGGGGAUGGACUCGCGGCUUAUCAGCUUGUUGGUGGGGUAGUGGCUUACCAAGGCUUUGACGGGUAGCCGGCCUGAGAGGGUGACCGGCCACAUUGGGACUGAGAUACGGCCCAGACUCCUACGGGAGGCAGCAGUGGGGAAUAUUGCACAAUGGGCGGAAGCCUGAUGCAGCAACGCCGCGUGCGGGAUGACGGCCUUCGGGUUGUAAACCGCUUUCGCCUGUGACGAAGCGUGAGUGACGGUAAUGGGUAAAGAAGCACCGGCUAACUACGUG